AGUGAACGCUGGCGGUAGGCCUAACACAUGCAAGUCGAACGGCAGCACAGUAAGAGCUUGCUCUUACGGGUGGCGAGUGGCGGACGGGUGAGGAAUACAUCGGAAUCUACUUUUUCGUGGGGGAUAACGUAGGGACACUUACGCUAAUACCGCAUACGACCUACGUGUGAAAGCAGGGGAUCUUCGGAUCUUGCGCGAUUGAAUGAGCCGAUGUCGGAUUAGCUAGUUGGCGGGGUAAAGGCCCACCAAGGCGACGAUCCGUAGCUGGUCUGAGAGGAUGAUCAGCCACACUGGAACUGAGACACGGUCCAGACUCCUACGGGAGGCAGCAGUGGGGAAUAUUGGACAAUGGGCGCAAGCCUGAUCCAGCCAUACCGCGUGGGUGAAGAAGGCCUUCGGGUUGUAAAGCCCUUUUGUUGGGAAAGAAAAGCAGCAGGUUAAUACCCCGCUGUUCUGACGGUACCCAAAGAAUAAGCACCGGCUAACUUCGUG
Molecule: ribosomal RNA, 492 nt
Filed under: uncultured bacterium
Lineage: Bacteria
Description: partial 16S ribosomal RNA
Rfam family: Bacterial small subunit ribosomal RNA
Source: RNAcentral